RNAcentral lists this transfer RNA (74 nucleotides) under Marmota monax (woodchuck). RNAcentral's name for it is "tRNA.Ala". The record is from RNAcentral. Lineage: Eukaryota; Metazoa; Chordata; Mammalia; Rodentia; Sciuridae.
UGUGGUAUAGUUCAGUGGUAAAGUGUAUGCUUAGCAUGGUGUAUAAGGCCUGGGUUCAAUUUACAACACCAAAG